This is a long non-coding RNA of Galleria mellonella (greater wax moth), 4868 nucleotides long. RefSeq lists it as uncharacterized. The record is from RefSeq and is a predicted model, not a curated record. The transcript has 3 exons. NCBI's taxonomy places the organism in Eukaryota, Metazoa, Arthropoda, Insecta, Lepidoptera, Pyralidae.
UAUAAUAUUCAUUAAUGGAACAUAUUUAUGAACUUGAUGAAAAACAACUACUUUACUUUUGGUUAAACUAAUAUCGAGGGAAAGAAGAGAAAAAUAUUUCUCAAGUCUUUUUAAUGACUCAUUUAACAUUAAUUGCAUAUCAAUAAUAUUCUUUCCUUUUAUAUAAAUUAAUAAAUCAUCGGCAAAUUGCAAGUUGUUCACACUGUUUCCUAAAAUUGAAUUAAGUUUAUAGAUAUAUAAAAUAUAUAGUAGCGGGCUUAGAAUACCACCUUGACAUACUCCUUUAGAGCUUAACCUAGGUCCUAUUAAUUUACUAUUUACUUUAACAUACACUUCUCUAUUACUAAGAAAAUUAUAAAUCCAUUCGAUAAGUUUCAUUGGAAGAAAUGAGGAUAAAAUCGAAGAUAGAACUGUUAAAUUUACAUUGUUAAAAGCUCCUACGACAUCUAAAAAAACAGAUAGAACAUAUUCAUCGUUAUUCAAAGCAGUACUAAGGUCGACAUAGAAGUUCGCUAAACUUUCGCGCGCUGAAUAUCCACGGCGAAAACCAAAUUGAUUCGAUGGUAAUAUACUAUUACUUUCAAUAAAGAACUCUAAACGCUGUUUAAUUAAUUGUUCGAAUAAUUUGCCUGCACAGGACGUCAAUGUUAUAGGUCUAUAGGAGUCGAAAUUUGUAGGAUCUUUACCGGGUUUAAUUACUGGAAUCAAACAAUCCAUUUUCCAUUCUGGUGGGAUAAUACAGUCCUUCCAUAAAUCGUUAAAAAUUUGUAAGAGUUUAGUAAGGUUUAUUUUAUUCAGCAAUCGAAACAUAUUGUAUGUUAAGCGAUCAAGGCCACUAGCUGUAUCUUUUCUAGAUUUUACUGCACUGGAUAUUUCAUCAAUUGAGAAUGGGUCAGUGAGAAAUUUUGGGCAUGAAUUAACAGAAUUAAACUGUUUGUCAUCAAAAGGUGAGUGUACAAAAUCAGGAGUAUAUUUGCGUAAAAAAUCAUUGACCCAUGAUAUAUCUUUAAAAUGAUUUUGACGAUGUUUUGAAUUUAGUUUUCUCAUAUUUUGCCAAACAGUGGAAAUUGGUGUUAAUCUAUUAAAUUUGGAACAAAAUUCCUGCCACCCCUGUUGUCUUACUUGCUUAAUUACUAACUUUUUAACAGCUUGAACUCUUUUAAAAUUUAUGUAAUUAUCGAGAGUUGGAUUUUGUUUAAACCUAAGGUAAGCCGCUUUACUAUCAUUGACAGCUGUCGCACACCUGUUAUUCCACCAAGGUACUGCAAUAUGUUUGUGCCUCUUUGAAGUAUUUGCACCGCUAUUUGAUAAGUUCCUACGUGGAACGGAACGUUCCACAGCUGUCAAAAUAAUUUUACAGAACCUAUUGUAAUUGUUUAAGGGUUCAUUGACAUCAUACUCGAAAUCCAAAAGUAAUCGAUUAACAGUUUCAGAAUAAAGAUCCCAAUUAACGAGACGUAGGUUUAUACGAUUUAACAAAAGUUUAUUAACUUCAUCUAUAGGAGCAUGUUGUUCACCUGACGGAGUUGAUGAAGAGUUCUUUGUGUUUAUUUUAGUAAAAGUCGGCAGGUGAUAACUUCCUAACGGAUCAUCAUGAACCGACCACUCGCAUUUUAAUGAUAUGGAUGGGGAUACCAUAGUUAAAUCAAGGCCAUUGGGUCUCCAAAUAUGAGAGCCAACAGUAGUAACUUGCUUAUCAUUUAAUAGUACCAAAUUACAUUCAUCUAAACAAUCAAGAAUGUCUUUACCUCUUGUAUUAGUGGAGGUACAACCCCACAUAGUAUGAUGUGCAUUUAAAUCUCCAGAUAUGAUAGUGGGUUUAGGAAGAGACUCCAAAAAGAACUUAAAUUUGGCUUUAGUAAAACUAGGUGUACUAUUGGUAGGACAGUAAAUACUGGCAACUGAAUACCAAGAAUUAUUAACUUCAAUACUAAUAGCUAUAGUUUGCAAAGAAUUGUCGAAAAAAGAGUGAAGUUUUUUAUAUCUAAUACUAUUAUGUAUAAUAAUCGCUACUCCAUUGUGGUUAUUACCACAAUCAUUUCGUUCUAUACAAUAAUCUUUAAUUUUUAAUUUGUAAUGUGGUUUUAGCCAAGUUUCUGAGAUGAGAGCAAUGUGAAUAUGAUGUUCAUUUAAAAAUUGUGUAAAAAUAUGUCGAUUGCUCAGUAGGCUCUGAGCGUUCCACUGUAUGAUAGUUAAUUGGUCUCGAUUGAAUUUUGUGAAAUAGGUCUAUUACCAAAAGUAUCAUAUAACACAUUCAAAACACUUUUAGUGUUAAUAGAUGUGUUCUUUGUGUUAUGUAGUGAAAUAAGUUUGAUUAUGCUUUCUAUUAAAAGUGAUAAACUCUUGUUAUCAGAAUUUAGAAUUGAAAUUAGGUCUACAUUUUUUUUAGGUUUGUUACCCAGUUUAGGAAAUAUUUCAGUGCUAAGUAUAUCUCCAAAAGAAGCAGGUCUGAAUUUAGAUCUAUUUUCAGCAAUUUUCUUUUGUUUAACAGGGCAUUGCGGUGAUACACUUGUGUGAUUUCCAUUGCAGUGUACACAAAUAGCGUUUUCCAUUCCAGUUGUACAAGUUUUAUAAUUAUGCUCACCUUUGCAGAUGCUGCAACGCUCAGAAUUCUUACAGAAUUUAGCUAAAUGUCCAUACCUCAAGCACCGGUAGCAUUGUUUAACUGGUGGUAUAUAUGGAGUGACAUUGUGGCGCCAACCUCCAAUAUCCAGAUAUUCAGGUAAUACAGAUGCAGCAAAAGUAAUUGUCACGGUUAGAGUUGGCUGUAACACAUAUCCAUGAGUCAAGGAGGAGAGUGAGAGCAAGUCUCUGGAUCCAAUGGUUUUCUGACUAUCUGAGGAUUCUACAAAGACAACAAAUUCUGUCCCAGGGGAUUCCUCGGGAUAUCUUCUAAUAUAAUCUGUGACGUAGUAAGGUUUAUACUUAUCGGCCUUAUCAAUUUCAGAUUCUGAGUCAGUAGAAGUAUCUUCCGAAUAUAUAUCCUUGUCAUUACAAGGUUCAUGGUCUACAUCACCUGAAUCGUCAUCUUUUUUUUUCCUUUUUCUACAACUGCGCUUCCCCAUGAAUGCUAAUUAUAUUACUGUCGCUGAAUUUAGUGAAAAUAUAAUAUUUUAUUCAAUAAUAAGAAUUGAUAGAGAUAGUUUUAAUAAAUUAAUAAAAAAAAAUUUAAAAAACCCGCUUGUUCUUAUUCGAGUUUCCCGCCUUUUUUUCGGUGAAAUUCAAUGAACUUUUUCUGUCAGUAUGUAUUAAUGCCAAUGUAAAUGUCAACUAUUAAUUAUUAGCUAUUACAUUUUUCUUAAUCUAUGACAUACAAAUAUGCACAUAGAAUCCAUUCUACAUAGGACAUGAGAAUCAUGAGAACAUAUAUCAGUCAUAGAGAUUAAAUUGCUUCAUCAUUUUCACAAGCAUUAUAAUUAAUAAAUAAGUUAUAAUCGUGUAUACUACCCUAUAAGUAAUAAGUAUAACUAAACAGAUUAUUUAAAUAAUAAAUUGAUAAUAUAUUUUUAAAUAAUAACUAUAAAUUUACAAACGUAGCUUUGAUAAAUGUAUAUUAAUAAACUAGUAUUAAUAAUAAUCCAUUAACUAAUAUUUAUUAGACUAAUAAACUUUGUAAAAUAGAACCCUGAUCGAUGCACUGUAACACAAUGACGUACAUAUAAUUGCAAUCUAAAAUGAAAAGUUACUUUGUAACAAUUUCUCAGAGCCUGGAUGCCUUUCGCGAGUGAAUUAUGCAUUUCACAUGCACGUAACGGACAUUGCAAAUUGCGCGCAAAGCGAUCGGUGCUUUAUUUGUUUCUUAGACAAACAAAGGUAAGCGCCGCACGUUAUUGUGGACGGUUGAUUCGAUUUAGAGAUGUGUUAGUACAUGAAGAGAAUAUGAUAUAGGACAAACUGUCGGUGCGUGGAAACAUAUGAAAAUCACAAGGAUGACAACGGGUCAUGAUUACAGUAGAUUGCGCGGUUUGCAUGUGCGGUGUUUACGUUUGUAGCGAACAUACAAUCAAAGAAUGACGCCGGAGCCUAAAGAGAUUGGUCAUCAAGUUAGAUUUGGAAAUACAAUAAUUGGUCUAUUCCAAAAAGCCUGUUGGGAAAUUCCAGAAAUAGUAGGAGCUACAGGUCUGGCAUUCGUAGGAAUAGGUCUAGCUAUUCUCGGAUGUCGAAGAUAUAUACAAAAUGAUGGAGAUAACAGAGAGUAUAAAUCAGUAUAUAUGAUUGUACGUCCCAAUAAUCCAAGAGCAUGUCGAUUGAAAAAUCCAGUUUAUACACAGUACAAAUGUUAAACUUUUAAUAAUCUUGAACUAAUUAAGUUCGAAUAAAUAAUUAUUGUAUUAUUAUUAAUUUAAAGAUUCUUGGUCGGUGCCAUGCCUGUUAUAAUUUAUGAUUGAAUCAAAGAUUGAUUGAUUGAUUGAAUUGCUUUAGUUUUUAUUAUUAUAUAUUUUUUAUUGCAUUUAGAAAUAUAGUAAUAAUAACAAUUAAAAACAAUUGAGCAAAGGUGAACUUAUCUUUAAAAAAAAUUUCUUCCAGUGAAAAUAACAUAGUGGCAAUAAAAGUCUUGAUUAUGCAUGAGUAAGCUUAUUUAUAAUGUUAUUAGACUAAUUAACUCCCGACGCAAAAAGAGGGGUGUUAUAACUUUGACGUGUCUGUCUGUGGUGUUAUAGCUCCUAAACCAAUGGACUGAUGCAGUUAUUUAUUGUUUCAAAAUUUACGUGAUCGAAAUGGUUCUUAGCCACAAUAUAUGAGAAAUUAUUAAGGUAUUUCAAUCAGCAGCAUCAGCAUUAGUAAUCAGCUUAUAGGUUUUUUUUGUGUCGAGGUUUUUAAAAUAUUAACAAAAUUAUAGUUAUUGGUUUAUUAGCAAUGCUUGCGCA